UACGUAGGGUGCGAGCGUUGUCCGGAAUUACUGGGCGUAAAGAGCUCGUAGGUGGUUUGUCGCGUUGUUCGUGAAAACUCACAACUCAAUUGUGGGCGUGCGGGCGAUACGGGCAGACUGGAGUACUGCAGGGGAGACUGGAAUUCCUGGUGUAGCGGUGGAAUGCGCAGAUAUCAGGAGGAACACCGGUGGCGAAGGCGGGUCUCUGGGCCUGUACUGACGCUCAGGCGCGAAAGCUAGGGGAGCAAACAGG
Molecule: ribosomal RNA, 253 nt
Filed under: uncultured bacterium
Lineage: Bacteria
Description: partial 16S ribosomal RNA
Rfam family: Bacterial small subunit ribosomal RNA
Source: RNAcentral